UAACCCGCCGGUGCUCUCUCCUCCUCGCCGGUGCUCUCUCCUCGUCGUCGUCCCGCUUGAAGCGGUGCUCUCUCCUCCUCUUCGCCGCCUUCUCUCAUCAACCCGGAAAAAGAUUUGUUGGGAGAACUGGAAUUGGGGCUGAUCUUCAAUAGAAAUCGGUGGCUUUCUCCUCCUCAGAAAUGAUCGAUCAUCCAUUUCUUCUUCAAAGUACAUCUAAAUUUCAAAAAUUUGUGCAACUUCAUCUAUCGCUGGCAAAUCAUCAGUUCAUGAUUUUACAGUCAAGGUGGAGUGUAUACCUCUACUUWGUUCAAGCGAGUUUCUUUAACGAUGAUGAUUUGAAUUUUACAUGUCAUUUUUAGCAUGAAAAGUGACAGUGUUGUUAUAGAAGCUCUGUUAGCAAUGGGCAUCAAGUACCUACAUGAGUAGCAGGAUUUGGUACAUUUAUAUACAAGCCAUAUAAUAUYUCAUACCGAGAGACUAUGUUUGAAAUACAAAAUGGAACAGAGGUGCUUUCUAGAGUUGCGGCACCCUAAUCUUGUGUCUUUGCCUGGCUAUUGUAAUCAUGGAAAAGAGAGAUGCUUGUUUAUGAAUAUAUGCCCAAUGGAACACUUGAAGAUAAUCUCCAUACUUGGUACCCCUCUUUCUUGGCUUCAGCAACUCAACAUCUGCAUAGUUGCUGGUCGUGGGUUACACUACCUUUACAUUGGUACAGGAAUUCGGGUUGGGGUUAUACAUCGUGAUGUCAAGAGCUUAGAUAUUAAUAUUAUAUUGUAUAGAAGUUGGGCAACAACAUAUAGGACUGGGGGUUUGUUCAAAAUAGGCCCAACGAAUAAACUAUCAAUUUGUAUCGACACACUUGUUCAAGGUACUUUUGGGUACCCGGAUCUUGAUUAUUAUGCAACUGGAAAGCAGAAAAUCUGAUGUGUAUGCCGCUAUGCCUAACAUUGAACACAUUAGACUUACUUGUCAGCUUUCGAGUUGUGUAAUAGUUGGGAUCCAGAUACCCAAAAGUACCUUUAUCAUUGUCUUGAUAUAAGUGGAUGGCUGAUUAGUUGGCCUUGACAACCCAAAGUCCGGAAGUUUUUGCUGCCCAACUUUCAUUUAACAAAAUAUUUGAGCUUUUGACAUCACGAUGUAUAACCCCAAUCAAAAUUUGCGGUCAUUUUCUUGGAAGUGCUUUGUUGGAAGCAUGUAGUGGAUACACUCUUGAUGUGGACUGCUGGAGUUUUGCAAGAUGGGCUCAAGAAUUUAUUGAAGAAGACAAUCUAAAGCAUAUCAUUGGUUCUGGUAUAAGGGGUCAAAUAACCCCAAAAUGUUUGAAGGAGUUUGUUCUAAUUGCAGAGAGAUGUUUGCAUGGCAAUCCAAAACAGCUCUACCAUACAGAGGUUGUGGCCAGUACACUGACCUCACCUGAGAAAUUCAGUAAUUCAUUGCAACAUGCAGACAUGAUAAUAUUUGGUAGAAUGGCUGAUUGUCUUUCCAAUACAAGCUCUCAUCGCUCCGCACACUCUCAUCACUCUGCACGCUCUCAUCGAUUUCCCUCCUAAAGGAAUGAUGCAAAUUGACGAUUCACACUCCUCUAAGAAGAUUGUCUUCCCAAUACAAGCUCUCAUCGCUUCGCACGCUCUCAUCGAUUUCCCUCCUAAAUUAAUGAUGCAUAAAUUGACGAUUCAAGCUCCCGUAUGAUGAUUACUUAUUCAGGAUCACCAUGUAAUGGCUCCACACACUCGCGAUCCAUGCUUCGAAUACAGCUAGGGUUCCAAUCGAGGGUUCUUCCCAGAUGGCCUUACUCUCGAUCAGAGGCAUUGGAGUGAGCUACAGAUUAUUAUUCCCUUCUCCCCUUUGUGCAUUUCUGUUUUACAUUUAAUCUUCACUGGGAAAUGGCAUAAGAAAUUUAAAUUUCCACUUUGUUUCAAACCUUAAAGGCCAUUACCUAUCAUCAAUCCUUGUUCAAAACAGUAUAUACUUUCAUAUUGUCAUAAAACUCUUGGACAAUUUCCACUUUGGGAUACCCAUUGCAGGCUACAGAGUUUUCUCUGUUAGAAGUUUAUAGACUAAAAUCUAAAUGUCUGGGGAUAGUCAUUAUUGAUUUUGUUCACAUGGUUUAAUCCCUCCCAAACCAAAUGUGAAGUUUGACUAGGCAUAUAUUCCAAAGAGACUUUGAUGUUGCAGUCUGGUUAGGGCUCGAUCAUCUCUCAUCUACUCAUUCCAAUCGAGAGAGAGUAAACAGAAGCGUGAGGAGUUAUUACAGAAGUGGUCAGAAGGGCAUACUCGACAUCGUUCUUCAGCUCGUAUUUUGAUGGGAGAUGAGCCGGAAAAGUAUCGGUCUCACUUCUCUGAAUACAUUAAAGCUGGAGUUGACCCGUAAAACAUUGAAGAGCUGUACAAGAAGAUGCAUUAAGCCAUUCAUGCUGAUCCAACCCCAAAGAAGUUGGAGAAACAGCCUCCAAAGGAGCACACAAGAGGUUCAACUUGAAGAAGCUAACAUAUGAUGAGAGGAAGGAGAAGCUUAUUGAGAGACUGAAUGCUCUGAAUGCGGCAUCUGGUGGUGCAGAUGAUGAAUGAAAACAUGUUUGAUUUUGAAUUAUUUGAAAAGAAAAUUGAAAACAGUUCAAUUUUGCAUGCUUUGAUGAAUUUUUUAGAAUGAGGGUGGAGAUAUUUGGAGACAUAGUGGAUUAUC
This is a long non-coding RNA of Cynara cardunculus var. scolymus (artichoke), 2680 nucleotides long. RefSeq lists it as uncharacterized. The transcript has 7 exons. Lineage: Eukaryota; Viridiplantae; Streptophyta; Magnoliopsida; Asterales; Asteraceae. The record is from RefSeq and is a predicted model, not a curated record.